This 712-nucleotide non-coding RNA is filed under the name Pan troglodytes (chimpanzee). Lineage: Eukaryota; Metazoa; Chordata; Mammalia; Primates; Hominidae. The record is from RNAcentral.
UGCAAGCCUCUGCCUGCCUUCCUGCGCGCCGUUCCCCGCUAGUCGCUGCUGCUGGCGCGCACUCGCCGGGUUUUUCCUCCCACGGCCUCGAGAUGGUCGUGAAUGUGGCACGGAGGAGCCGGGCCUUCCAACCCGGUGGGCCCGAGCUCCGAAAGGCCCCCUCGGCAGUGAGAGGGGCGGGAGCCCGCGGGGGCCGCGCCCUUCUCUCGCUUCGGACUGCGCAACGCUGCGCUCUGUGCUGACAGGCGGAUAAAACGGUCCCAUCAAGGCUGAGAAAAAGCACACCAGAUAUUGGCACAGCGUGGGCAGUGGGGCCUACAGGAUGACUUAGUCUACAGAGAUCCCGGCGUACUUAAGCAGAUGAAGACUCUUAAGAUGACAGAAGGUGAUUUUUCUGGUGAUCGAGGAGUUCCGGGGUCAUGACAGUGAUGAAAUGCAGGGGACCUGGUUGCCCCCAAGUUUCCUGGCAGUGUGUGAUACUGAGGAGGUGAGCUUGUUUCUGGAGCUGUGCUUUAAGAUUCAUGUUACAUGUAAAGCUGUCCUCAUUUGUGACUAUGGACCUAUGGAGUUGGGACAAUCUCUAUGGGAAGCAGAAGGCAAGGACCCCAGUCAUUUUAGGUAGAAACAACAGCAUGCUAAUGCAAAAAAUUAUGCAGUGUGCUACUGAACUUCAGAGGUGAUCAAUAAAAGAAUAAAAAGACUAAUAAAAGUA